AGAAAUACAAAUGAGCAAAAGCUGGCAGGCUGACGGGAAAGUGCAUCUUUACAGGACGGAUUAACUGGUAACUGACCAUUUAGCUGUGGCACACUCGGACUCUCUGUAAACGUGGGAUUUUGACCAUGAGCUCAGUCGCUGUACUUACGCAGGAAAGCUUUAAUGAGCACCGCAGUGGGCUUCUGCCAGAGCAGGGUGGUGCUGCUGGGGCAGGACCCGGCGCUGUAGAGGAAGAGGAUGCACUUCCUACCUACAAGGAUGCUUUCCCACCUCUGCCUGAGAAGGCGGCCUCACCUGAGGGGACCCAGGAAACUGCCAACGCCUGGACAUCUAAGAUCCGUCCACUCAAGUCCUCUGUUAUCACCCAGGUAGAACACUUUACGAGUCACUCACAC
Long non-coding RNA from Notothenia coriiceps (black rockcod), 395 nucleotides. RefSeq lists it as uncharacterized. The transcript has 4 exons. NCBI's taxonomy places the organism in Eukaryota, Metazoa, Chordata, Actinopteri, Perciformes, Nototheniidae. The record is from RefSeq and is a predicted model, not a curated record.